UAGUUGGUGGAGUGAUUUGUCUGGUUAAUUCCGUUAACGAACGAGACCUCAGCCUGCUAAAUAGUUUGUCAAACACUGCGUGUUUGUUUCAAAGCUUCUUAGAGGGACUCUCUGUAUCUAGCAGAUGUAAGUUUGAGGCAAUAACAGGU
This 149-nucleotide ribosomal RNA is filed under the name uncultured eukaryote. RNAcentral's name for it is "partial small subunit ribosomal RNA". It matches the Rfam family "Eukaryotic small subunit ribosomal RNA", at positions 1295 to 1461 of the family's 1831-position model. The record is from RNAcentral.